Molecule: ribosomal RNA, 1241 nt
Filed under: metagenome
Description: bacterial LSU rRNA
Rfam family: Bacterial large subunit ribosomal RNA
Source: RNAcentral
UGAAUACGAGAUGCUACGGCAUUGAAGCAGUCUAUGUCAUACUUCCAAGAAAAGCUCGCAAUGUCAUAAACAAAUAAUGCCUGUACCAUAACCGACACAGGUGGGUAGGUAGAGUAUACUAAGGGGCGCGAGAUAACUCUCUCUAAGGAACUCGGCAAAAUGACUCCGUAACUUCGGGAGAAGGAGUGCCUUAUUUAUAAGGUUGCAAUAACAAGAUCCAAGCAACUGUUUACCAAAAACACAGGUCUCCGCUAAGUCGUAAGACGAUGUAUGGGGGCUGACGCCUGCCCAGUGCCAGAAGGUUAAAGAAGUUGGUUAGCUUAGCGAAGCUGAUGACUGAAGCCCUGGUGAACGGCGGCCGUAACUAUAACGGUCCUAAGGUAGCGAAAUUCCUUGUCGGGUAAGUUCCGACCCGCACGAAAGGCGUAAUGAUUUGGAUACUGUCUCGGAGAGGGGCUCGGUGAAAUAGACUUGUCUGUGAAGAUGCGGACUACCUGCACCAGGACAGAAAGACCCUAUGAAGCUUUACUGUAACUUGAGAUUGAAAUUGGACUUUAUUUGCGCAGUAUAGGUGGGAGACGUUGAGAAUAUUCUUGCGGGAAUAUUGGAGUCAUCAGUGAGAUACCACUCUUGUAAUGUUAGAUUUCUAACUUUGGAUCAUUAUCUGGUCAAAGGACAGUUUCAGGCGGGCAGUUUGACUGGGGCGGUCGCCUCCCAAACGGUAACGGAGGCGCACAAAGGUUUCCUCUGAACGUGUAGAAAUCGUAUCUAGAGUGUAAAGGCAUAAGGAAGCUUGACUGUGAGACCUACAAGUCGAGCAGGGACGAAAGUCGGUCUUAGUGAUCUGACGGUGCUGAGUGGAAAGGCCGUCACUCAACGGAUAAAAGUUACUCUAGGAUAACAGGCUGAUCUCCCCCAAGAGUUCACAUCGACGGGGAGGUUUGGCACCUCGAUGUCGGCUCAUCGCAUCCUGGGGCGGUAGUACGUCCCAAGGGUUGGGCUGUUCGCCCAUGAAAGCGGUACGCGAGCUGGGUUCAGAACGUCGUGAGACAGUUCGGUCCAUAUCCGGUGUAGGCGUUAGAAUAUUGAGAGGAGCCUUCUUUAGUACGAGAGGACCGAGAAGGACAUACCUCUGGUGUACCAGUUAUCGUGCCAACGGUAAACGCUGGGUAGCUAUGUAUGGAGAGGAUAACCGCUGAAAGCAUCUAAGUGGGAAGCCCACCUCAAGAUAAGUAUUCUCA